This 48-nucleotide non-coding RNA is filed under the name Schistosoma margrebowiei. Lineage: Eukaryota; Metazoa; Platyhelminthes; Trematoda; Strigeidida; Schistosomatidae. The record is from RNAcentral.
AUUCAGCUGACCAGUCCCACGUGGGACGAAACGUGCGUCAAACUGUAU